UGCGUAGGCCGCGCGGAGGGUGGGAUGUGAAAUCCCCCGGCUCAACCGGGGAAUAGCGUCCCAAACCGCCGUGCUCGAGGGAGACAGAGGUGAGCGGAACUGAUGGUGGAGCGGUGAAAUGCGUUGAUAUCAUCAGGAACACCAGUGGCGAAAGCGGCUCACUGGGUCUUUCCUAACGCUGAGGCACGAAAGCUAGGGGAGCGAACGGGAUUAGAUACCCCGGUAGUCCUAGCCUUAAACGAUGAGCACUUGAUUGGAGGAAUGGUCACGUUCUUCCGGUCGUAGCGAAAGUGUUAAGUGCUCCGCCUGGGGAGUAUGGUCGCAAGGCUGAA
Molecule: ribosomal RNA, 332 nt
Filed under: uncultured bacterium
Lineage: Bacteria
Description: bacterial SSU rRNA
Rfam family: Bacterial small subunit ribosomal RNA
Source: RNAcentral